GCAUACUCAUCGAUUACAAUUCAGCAUUAGGCAAACUGCUAUGUACCGUAGGCUUGGAGCUAACAGAUUGCUUCGUAAAAUGGAGAUUUACCGUAGUUGGGAGGGAGGUCGCCUGGUUUUGCUGGUGUGGUUCCAUCUAGUUUGAAGGAGAGGGAAGCGUCUUCUCUCCCGCUGCUAUUUUCUUACAAUCAACGCUCGACCUCCGCCUCAUGCACCACGAUCACCAAAGACCCAAACGAAACAACAUAGGGGGCCAUGUGGAAAAAAUAUGGGAGAGUACGAUUUGCCUAAUGUGUGACCCGUGUGAAUGUAUCCACAAAGUCUACCAACGAGACAAUUUUCACUGUACAUUCAUGUAGAUGACAAAUUCAUGCACUGUAUUGCACUAUUUGCAACUUGAUGGGAAAAAAAUAAUACAAUGUUGCAAGUUGUUGUAUGGUGGAUCCAUUUUACUCAUUAUAAAAUUCACAUCUCUAUAAAUUCACCUUAUGUUUUAAAAACAAAAACCCAAAUGAACUACCACCGCACGAGGAUUGAGCACUCUUGCUUUGUGUACCCCACCACAAACCCAACCUCUCGAUCUACAUGCCAUCGUUGGUGCACCAUAGCCCUCAUACAAGUCCCCCCUGAUGCUAAUCAUCCCGGUCUCAAACUAUCGUGAGCCCCUACAACCUCAACAUCCUCACUGAAUCCAAACUCUCAACACCCUCAUAUCAGGACAUUUGUAUUUUCAAGGUUCCAAAUGUGAAUUUUAGGGUGUUUUUAGACUUUGAAUGUAA
This 779-nucleotide long non-coding RNA is filed under the name Setaria viridis. RNAcentral describes it as "long non-coding RNA (SVIR_LNC006376)". Lineage: Eukaryota; Viridiplantae; Streptophyta; Magnoliopsida; Poales; Poaceae. The record is from RNAcentral.